Molecule: transfer RNA, 72 nt
Filed under: Halolactibacillus halophilus
Lineage: Bacteria; Bacillati; Bacillota; Bacilli; Caryophanales; Bacillaceae
Also listed under: 2 other names
Description: tRNA_Thr_GGT
Rfam family: tRNA
About the family: Transfer RNA (tRNA) molecules are approximately 80 nucleotides in length. Their secondary structure includes four short double-helical elements and three loops (D, anti-codon, and T loops).
Source: RNAcentral
GCUUCCAUAGCUCAGUGGCAGAGCACUUCCAUGGUAAGGAAGGGGUCGUCGGUUCAAUCCCGACUGGAAGCU